Molecule: long non-coding RNA, 719 nt
Filed under: Mytilus galloprovincialis (Mediterranean mussel)
Lineage: Eukaryota; Metazoa; Mollusca; Bivalvia; Mytilida; Mytilidae
Source: RNAcentral
GUUCUUUGAGAAGUAGAUUCAUAAUUGAAAACUAUUAACAUACUCUCCUUUAGUAAGACAUGGUAUGCUAAUAAUUCAUUAAUAAUAAGUCCUCAACUAAACAGGAUUCAUUUGACAUGAAUAGGCAUAUGUAUGGUAGUCAUUCAAAUACAUCUAAGGCCAUAAAAUAAAAUUGUUUGCCCAAACACUACCUACUCAGAAAAAAGCUGCCUACUAAAAAUCUUUUAUUGACUUAUUCAAGAAGUUUUUUUUAAUCAGAUAGCCAUGAAGACUUAUAAACCAUGGAUACUAUAAUUUCUUUUUGUUGAAAAAAAAAGAAAAUGCCUACCUACCUACCCACUAGCUUUGGGUAGGGUUUGGGCAAACCAAAAUAUUUUUAAUUGUGGCCUAAAACAAAAAUGGUAUUCCUUUCAACAUAUCUCAUCACUAAAAACAUCUUAUUAGUAUGUGUACAUACUGAAUAAAAAUACAUCAGUAAUCUCUAUGGUAAGAACAACAAGUCAAGUAUAGUGUGUGGUAUAAACAACUUAACAGGUGCUUGCCAAGACUAAAUAGUCAACCAAAAUAUUGGACGGCUAGAUUCUUCUAAUCAAAUUAAAAAAAAACUGACAGUGACAAUAAAAACAGGCAGUCAAUUAUAUUAAACAUUACAAGUCAUUUUGGGAUGGAAUCUACAAAAAUAUUUCACAAAGAGGUACAAACAUCUCUAAGUAUUGUCC